This 253-nucleotide ribosomal RNA is filed under the name uncultured bacterium. RNAcentral describes it as "partial 16S ribosomal RNA". It matches the Rfam family "Bacterial small subunit ribosomal RNA", at positions 524 to 776 of the family's 1533-position model. The record is from RNAcentral.
UGCGGGGGGAGCAAGCGUUGUUCGGAUUUACUGGGCGUACAGCGCGCGCAGGCGGUUGCGUAUGUGAGCGGUGACAUCCGCGGGCUCAACCCGCGGCGGCCCGCUUACACAGCGCGACUGGAGGCAGGGAGAGGGAUGUGGAAUACCCGGUGGAGCGGUGAAAUGCGUAGAGAUCGGGUGGAACACCAGCGGCGAAGGCGGCAUCCUGGCCCUGUACUGACGCUGAGGCGCGAUAGCGUGGGGAGCAAACGGG